CGCGAGUGUGAGAGGGAGAUGCCUGUGUGUUGGCGGUUUACCGGAUCUUUUUUCUGUAGUUUUCUUAAAGAUCACUCCGCGACACACUCGAUGCGGCGCUGUCGUUCAGCAGCAGAUGACGCGCUGUCUGCGGCUGACUUGUCAUUCCCACUCGCAAUCACCGCUGUCAUCAAAAUGGACUUAUGCUAGCAACAAGUUCUGACUGAACUCAAUUGUCAUGAAACCCAUAUACAGCGAUUAGUUUUUCUCUCUUUCACACAAACUUAUAACGAGGAGCGACCACAAUAUGUUUUGUGCGGGGAAAUGCUUAGUAACGAGUCUCUCAAAACGAACGAAUUACUAAAACGACGUGUCCUGACCAAACAUCCUCAGCAUGAUGGUAAACCCAGGGAGUUAUUUGAGAACAGGGCAGAAUGCUACAGGAAACAGUGCUUCGACAGUGGAAAACAGUUACAGUAUUUUUUAACAUACUGGUGAUCAUCUCCAUCUCUCACUUCAAGCAGCUCAUCACUCCACCAACCUGCUCACCUUCUCUGGCUGUGGAAGAUCCCCUGGUGGGGCUGAUUGUGAUACCAGUAGCGACAGUAGCAGUAAUGGAAUCAUCCUAAGUUUUUGGGAAAUAUUCCUGUGAAUGUUUUCUCUACAUUGGUUAUGUAAUUCUUUCUUCAUCUUUGGGCAAUUUGGUCUUGAUAUCUAGUGACUGCUAUGUUGAUGUGUGUGAUCCCUUGUUGUACCACUCUAAAAUAACAAUAUCAAGAAUUAUACUACUGGUGGGUCUAAUCCUGAAUGCUGAUUGGUUAAAACCGCAUUCCAACCAGUGUCUAUUCCACAAGUUAUCACUGGCUAAAUCUAUGACAUUAAAAUGCCUAUUUACUCUAUUCCAUCUGGCAGCAGAAUCAACUGUCUCAUCAGCCCAGCCAGGCAAUUUAUAAACUUGAUCUCUACUAUAAAAAGCAUGUAGACAUUAUCUCACAUUUCUUUUACACUUUAGUUUUCAACUAUAAACCUUGCUGUCUGUCUCUCCGACGUUUGCAACAUUGUUUCAAUAUUCAAAUUCGAUCUCCAGCUGUCCCAUAGUAAUUAAUGUGUCGGGAGGCAGGGCGAGACAGGCAGGCAGCGUGGCAGCGUUUCUCAGCCAGUCAAAAUCAUGAAUCAGCUGCCAUCAUUUUUAUGGAUAUAUACAAAGAAAUGUCAAAUGAAGUGCAGCUAGUACAUUUUCUAUGCCAGGCAAAAUCACACCUCAUUAGCUCAUUGUUAUGGAUGUAUCUGAAAAUGUCACAAAAAAACUGCUUAAACAAAUGCAAAUGCAGCUACUGUUGUUAUUCUGGCUGCACUGUUUGACGUGACUAAGUUAAUCGUAGCUGGCUGGCUGGCUAGCAAGCAAGGGAUAAGAACCUUGCCAGCCAGUAUGGCUAUGGGACAUUUAUGACAAACGACUGGGUCUCGUCCAAAAGACUGAACGACUGGAGCGCGUCUCUGGCAACCAAACCGAUAGAACGAACGACCAGCCGGCUUGGGAAGCAACCAUAGAUUUGAGUCGGGACUAUAUCUUGUGGAAGGAGGAAAUAGUAUGAAUAAAUUAACCCGUUGUAGAAAAGUGAUAAUGCUCUCGAAGUUGGUGUUUGGAGGAUAUAUUACCAUGGUUUGUCGGCUCUCGACUUCGUCUCAGG
Molecule: long non-coding RNA, 1670 nt
Filed under: Salmo salar (Atlantic salmon)
Lineage: Eukaryota; Metazoa; Chordata; Actinopteri; Salmoniformes; Salmonidae
Description: lncRNA (ENSSSAG00000117699.1)
Source: RNAcentral